GGAGGAGCAGAAGGUUCUGACCCGGCAGCUGGAGGAGGAGAGGCGGGGCCAGGAGGCCAGGCUCCGCCCACAGGACACCUGAGCCAGGCGAUGGACGGUGGCGGCGCGGCAGAGGGGCUGGAGGAGGGAGAGGUGGAGGGGGAGACGCUGCUGAUCGUGGAGUCGGAGGACCAGGAGGACCUGUCACAUGACCAGAGCGGAGACUCGCUGACCAGCGACCUGGGCGAGGACGCGGACGGCGGCUGGGCCUGCGAGGACAUGUCCUUCUACUGCGACCGCUGCCACAAGUGGGUCCCUGCAGGUCAGCUCCGCGGUGACCAGCCCAGUUACUUGAAGGGAGACAACUUCUUCAAGUUCCUGUGCUGCAACUGUUCUGAGGACGGCAAGGAGAGCUUCGAGAGGCUGAGGCUCACCUGGCAGCAGGUGGUGAUGCUGGCCAUGUACAACCUGUCUCUGGAGGGAACGGGGCGGCAGGGCUACUUCAGGUGGAAGGAGGACAUCUGCGCCUUCAUUGGUCGACACUGGAACUUCCUGCUGGGGAACAGGAAGAAGACGUCUACCUGGUGGAGCACGGUGGCCGGCUGCCUGUCCGUCGGAAGCCCCGCCUUCUUCCGGUCCGGAGCGCAGGAGUUCGGCGAGCCGGGUUGGUGGAAGCUGGUCCAGAACCGCCCCCCCACGCUGAGGCCGGACGGCGACAAGUCCAGCACCAAGACCAAAGCGACCCGGCCGCCCCUGGACCCCAUCAUCACGGUGGAGGGCCUGCGGAAGCGCGGCGCCAGGAACCCGGUGGAGAACGCCAUGCAACUGAAGGAGAAGCGCAGCCGCACACAGGAGGCCAAAGACAUCCGGCGCGCCCAGAAGGAGGCGGCGGGCGGAGGCUACGCCGACCGGAGCGCCUCCUCCACGCCCGUCAAGCUGGGUGUGAGCCGCAGCAGCGCUCGCCGCCAGGACCUGGUGCUGGAGCGAGGUGAGGUCGUCGACUUCUCGUCACUCAGCUCGUCGGACCGGACGCCGCUCACCAGCCCCUCGCCCUCACCGUCACCGGACUUCUCCGGGCCGGGGACUCCGGCCUCCCACUCGGCCACGCCCAGCCUGCUGUCGGAGGCCGACCUGAUACCGGAUGCCAUGCCGCCGCAGGCGCUGUUCCACGAUGACGAAGAGCUGGAGACGGAGGGGAUGAUCGACCCGGGGAUGGAGUACCUACCCCCACCCAGCGCCAGCCGGAAGAAGCUCCGCCCUCCGCAGACUCUGAUCAAGCGGGAAUCUGAGAGUGAGGAAGACAACGCCCAUGAAGAGCGCUUUGAGCACCCGGCGAGCUGUGGUGAAGCUCCGCCUCCUGAGAGGCGGGUGGCAGAGCGUCGCAGGAUGAACCUUCAGGACAAACCGGACGGCGCCUCGCCGCGGCCCGUUGUCUCCGCCCUCAGUCUGUACGAAGAGCGGCUGCUGCUGAGGCGGCUGGACGGCUGCCCGCUGGCGCUCGCCGUCACGCCACAUGCCAAGCGCCUCCGCAGGAAGCUGCUGGUCCGCCAUGCCAAGCGUCAGAGAGGGCUCCCCCUGCUGGACAUCGACCGCGCCGUCAGCGCCGCGCUCAGCCUGGUGGGAGGGAUCUAUGGCACGCAGGAGGCGGAGCCACGGCCUGUGGGCGGGGCUAAGGGGAAGUACUGCACCAGCAGCCAGGAGCAGCGGAUUCUGGACCGCUUCCAGACCAGCGUGUCCAGCCGGCUGGGCGUCCAGCAGCGCUCCGUGUCUUUCUGGCACCGCCUGAUGGGAGCCGAGGGCGGUCUGGACCAGAACAUCAAGAGUCCGUACACGGCCCGGAUCCUGAAGCCCUUCAUCAGGAGGGACUUUGAGUCCCGCCCCCUGAAGCUCCGCCUCCUGGCUGAGAUCCGGGCGUUUCCUCACAGGACAGAUCCGGACUGGACCCCAGAACCCGACGCUCCCAUCGACUACUGCUACGUCCGGCCCAACCACAUCCCCUCGGUCAACGCCAUGUGCCAUGACAGCUUCUGGCCAGGUGUGGACCUGUCCGAGUGCCUGCAGUACCCGGACUUCAGCGUGGUGGCGCUCUACAGGAAGGUGGUGGUGGGCUUCGGGUUCAUGGUUCCGGACGUGAAGUACAGCGAGGCGUACAUCUCCUUCCUGCUGGUUCACCCGGAGUGGAGGCGCGCCGGCAUCGGGACCUUCAUGAUCUACCACCUGAUCCAGACCUGCAUGGGGAAGGACGUGACGCUCCACGUGUCGGCCAGCAACCCGGCCAUGCUGCUGUACCAGAAGUUCGGCUUCAAGGCCGAGGAGUACAUCCUGGACUUCUACGAUAAAUAUUACCCAGUGGACAGCAGCGAGUGCCGCCACGCCUUCUUCCUCAGGCUGCGGCGCUGACCCGCACUCUGGUCCCGGUCCAGUCCCGGUCCAGGUCCCGGUCCCGGUCCCGGUCUGGUCCUGGUCCGGCUUGAAUCCAAGAAGUUUAGAAGCUCGCCAGAAACAGACGGAUCAGAAGUAUUCAUACCCCUGACAUAUUUCCUCUGAAGCUCAUGUUGUGGUUGGGGCUCCGACCCGGUUCCGACCCGGUUCCGACCCUUCCAGUUUAAACCUGUAGGGGCCCCGAGUUCUUUUAGCUCUGUGUUUUCCAUGUUUGACCAGCAGGUGGCGCCGUUUCCCCGAGUCACAAAUGAAUAACUUUUCAUUUGAUUAAAAUGAUAAAUAUAAUUUUCUCAUCCUGAUGACAUGAAUAAAUAAAAACUUCUAAAUCAA
Molecule: RNA transcript, 2751 nt
Organism: Poecilia latipinna (sailfin molly)
Lineage: Eukaryota; Metazoa; Chordata; Actinopteri; Cyprinodontiformes; Poeciliidae
Gene: kat14
Gene name: lysine acetyltransferase 14
Exons: 12
Source: RefSeq, a predicted model, not a curated record